GUACGGUAUGUGCUCUGCGGGGCCCAGGGUCACUGCUCUGCAAAACCUGCCAGGAUCCUGGAAUGCCUCCCACUGGGUCUAGCAAGACAUGGAACUGAUCCAUCUCCUGCCCUGCUUGGGUCUCUCCUGGAAGUGGCUGUGAAUGAUCUUUUCUUCAGGCCACGAUUAUGAGACUGAGCCAGACGAGGCUCAGCCUUUCAGCUGUUGCUGCAGCCAAAUCUGACUUCUCCCGUCUCGUUCCGUGCAGGUGUCGGUGUUCCUGGCAUUGCCGGUGUCCCUGGUGUUCCUGGUGUUCCUGGAGUUCCUGGUGUCCCUGGUGUCCCAGGGGUUCCUGGUGUGCCUGGGGUUCCUGGUGCUGUGCCCGGUGUUGGAGUGGGUGGCCCAGCAGCAGCGGCCGCAGCCAAGGCUGCAGCGAAAGCAGCGGCAAUCGGAGCAGGAGGCGUGCCCGGCGUUGGUGUGCCUGGCGUUGGUGUGCCCGGUGUUGGCAUUCCCGGAGUGGGUGUUCCUGGAGUGGGUGUGCCUGGUGUUGGUGUGCCUGGUCUGGUGCCUGGGGUCGGCGUUCCAGGUGAGAUGGUGCCCAAGGGAU
Molecule: long non-coding RNA, 586 nt
Filed under: Chloebia gouldiae (Gouldian finch)
Lineage: Eukaryota; Metazoa; Chordata; Aves; Passeriformes; Passeridae
Description: Erythrura gouldiae (Gouldian finch) lncRNA (ENSEGOG00005010890.1)
Source: RNAcentral